Molecule: unclassified non-coding RNA, 22 nt
Filed under: Mus musculus (house mouse)
Lineage: Eukaryota; Metazoa; Chordata; Mammalia; Rodentia; Muridae
Description: oocyte_clustered_small_RNA6032
Source: RNAcentral
UCCUCCAAGGGCUUGGGCCAUU